This 209-nucleotide small nucleolar RNA is filed under the name Amborella trichopoda. RNAcentral's name for it is "snoRNA Plant_U3". The record is from RNAcentral. Lineage: Eukaryota; Viridiplantae; Streptophyta; Magnoliopsida; Amborellales; Amborellaceae.
GCGAUAACUUGGAUGGAAUCUGCUCUAUAGGUUUGUUCACCCUCUUCCAUCAACAUGAUGGAGACGCACACCUCAAUCUAGACGAUGAUGUGAUGUGGUUAGAGUGAGAAUGCUGGCUGUGUGUCCCAUUGGGAAAUCUCCUGUCACAGAGGAUCUCUCGAUUAAAGCCAUCACAUGGAUGAGAUGGCCAUGUGGCAGUAUGUCAGAAC